CGCUUUUUAAGUCCUAGUUUCUCUUAUAGAAACAUUGAUAUGUCCAAUUGAUCUUUUCUCUCUGUUUUUUUAAUUGCUAUUGAUCUGAUCUGUCGUUACAUACGGCGAAAAUAAAAAUAUGAUCUGGCGACCUGAUCUUUUCAGUAAUUCGUCUCCGAUUGAUCUUUCGUCCGAUUGAAAAUCUGAUCUGUCGACCUGAUCUUUUCUAUUAUACCUAAUAUUCGCCUGAUUGAUCUUUUGACGAAAAUAAAAAUAUGAUCCGACGUGAUCUUUUCUGUUAUUCAUCUCCGAUUGAUCUUUCGUCCGAUUGAAAAUCUGAUCUGUCAACAUGCUCUUUUCUGAUAUAGCAAAUGUUCGACUGAUUGAUCUUUUUUCUUAAUUUUCUUCGAUUAAUCUUUUCUCUUAUUUUUCUUCGAUUAAUCUUAGAAUUUCUAGCAUAUAUGUAUAAUAUAUCCUUGUCCGAUCCCACACAAACAUGAUUUUUUCUUUUAUUUCACAUAGUUUUUUUAAAAAACAAUUUCUAGUCUGAUUCCACGUGCGUAUGCAGUAUUUUUUUUUCUUUUUUCCUCUUAUUUUUUCCACGGUUGUAACAAACUGUGUAGGUAGUUUUCCUUUUUAAAAAAAAACUUCCUAGUCCGAUUCCACUUUAAAAAAAUCCAAAAAAACACGUUCUUUUUUAGGAAUUGUCUGAUCCAAAAAAUCAUUUUUUAUCCAAAGAAUCACGCUCUUUUGUAAAAUAUAAAUACUAAAAGUGGUAAUAUAGUUUUAAACUUGGACAUAACUUAGAUCAAACUUUUACAUUUGAUGCUUUCGAUUCUUUUCCAAUUUUUUGUGCGCUUUUUAAGUCCUAGUUUCUCUUAUAGAAACAUUGAUAUGUCCAAUUGAUCUUUUCUCUCUGUUUUUUUAAUUGCUAUUGAUCUGAUCUGUCGUUACAUACGGCGAAAAUAAAAAUAUGAUCUGGCGACCUGAUCUUUUCUGUAAUUCGUCUCCGAUUGAUCUUUCGUCCAAUUAAAACUCUGAUCUAUCGACCUGAUCUUUUUUGUUAUAGCUAAUAUUCGCCUGAUUGAUCUUUUGAUGAAAAUAAAAAUAUGAUCCGACGACCUGAUCUUUUCUGUUAUUCAUCUCCGAUCGAUCUUUCGUCCGAUUGAAAAUCUGAUCUGUCAACAUGCUCUUUUCUGAUAUAGCAAAUGUUCGACUGAUUGAUCUUUUUUCUUAAUUUUCUUCGAUUAAUCUUUUCUCUUAUUUUUCUUCGAUUAAUCUUAGAAUUUCUAGCAUAUAUGUAUAAUAUAUCCUUGUCCGAUUCCACACAAACAUGAUUUUUUUUCUUUUAUUUCACAUAGUUUUUUUAAAAAACAAUUUCUAGUCUGAUUCCACGUGCGUAUGCAGUAUUUUUUUUCUUUUUUCCUCUUAUUUUUCCACGGUUGUAACAAACUGUGUAGGUAGUUUUCCUUUUUUUAAAAAAACUUCCUAGUCCGAUUCCACUUUAAAAAAAUCCAAAAAAACACGUUCUUUUUUAGGAAUUGUCCGAUCCAAAAAAAUCGUUUUUAUCCAAAGAAUCA
Molecule: long non-coding RNA, 1559 nt
Filed under: Oryza brachyantha (malo sina)
Lineage: Eukaryota; Viridiplantae; Streptophyta; Magnoliopsida; Poales; Poaceae
Description: long non-coding RNA (OBRA_LNC000250)
Source: RNAcentral